This 74-nucleotide transfer RNA is filed under the name Marmota monax (woodchuck). RNAcentral's name for it is "tRNA.Ala". The record is from RNAcentral. Lineage: Eukaryota; Metazoa; Chordata; Mammalia; Rodentia; Sciuridae.
GUGGGGAUGUGGCUCAAGCGGUAACGUGCUCACCUGGCAUGCGCGGGGCGCUGGGUUCAAUUCUCAGCACCACA